GUAAGCGUAUGUAGGCGGACAUGUUAGUCGUGGGUCAAAUUUCCGAGCUAGCUCGGGAGCUGCUCACGAAACGGCAUGUCUAGAGAAAGUGAGAGAUGACUGGAACUCAUGGUGUAGUAGUGAAAUGCGUUGAUAUCAUGGGGAACACCAAAGGCGAAGGCAGGUCAUUGGCACUUUUCUGACGCUGAGAUACGAAAGCGUGGGUAGCGAAUGGGAUUAGAUACCCCAGUAGUCCACGCCGUAAACGAUGCAUAUUCAGCAUGUGGAGUAUCGACCCUCUGCGUGUUUUAGCUAACGCGUUAAAUAUGCCGCCUGGGAAGUACGAGCGCAAGCUUAAAACUCAAAGGAAUAGACGGGGAUCCGCACAAGUGGUGGAGCAUGUGGUUUAAUUCGACAAUAAGCGAGAAACCUCACCAGGACUAGAAACUUAGCUGCAAGCCUUAGAAAUAAGGCCGCCUUCGAGGGUGCUAAGCAGGUGCUGCAUGGUCGUCGUCAGCUCGUGCCGUAAGGUGUUCCCUUAAGUGGGGAAACGAGCGCAACCCUUGUCGUAUGUUAUAUAUGUCAUACGAGACUGCCCCGACUUUUGUUUUUAAUCAGAGAGAUUGAAGCCAAAAGUCGGGGAGGAAGGAGAGGAUGACGUCAGAUCAGCAUGGCCCUUGACGUCCUGGGCAACACACGUGCUACAAUGGUUAGAAUAAAGGGUCGCCAAACCGCGAGGUGGAGCCAAUCCCAAAAAUCUAAUCUCAGUUCGGAUUGGAGUC
Molecule: ribosomal RNA, 761 nt
Filed under: uncultured bacterium
Lineage: Bacteria
Description: bacterial SSU rRNA
Rfam family: Bacterial small subunit ribosomal RNA
Source: RNAcentral